UCGACCGAUUGGCAUUGGCAUCGCGAAGGAAGAUGGCGGCGGCUUUCAAGACGUAGAAUGUUGAGGUGUCGAAUUCUACCGAACUUUACGUUGUGAAUGCCAAACGGCGUGGUAAAAGCUGCUGGGAUCUGUCACGGACGCCGGAUCAUCUACCUGGAAGACACACCUCUAUGACCUCCUUUUGCGAGCGCCUUUACAUGUACUACGGAUUCCGGUUGGAUCCGUGCUCGACCAACAGUGAAUCAAACUCGUGUCUUGUGAAAUGCUGCAACCAUGGAGGGACCACAAUAGCCUUACGUCAAGCCCCGGAUCAGAUGCAGUGCAUAGGCUUCAGCCACUGCUACAAAGGAAAAUGUGGAAAAUUUCACUCGUACACAGGGAAACAUGCGUCCACAACAUCUGCAGCGCCCUAGUGACCAUCUCGCUAACAACGCGUAUUACGCUUGUUUUCAGAAAGAAUAAACGUUCGUUCUCCA
Long non-coding RNA from Ornithodoros turicata, 476 nucleotides. RefSeq lists it as uncharacterized. Lineage: Eukaryota; Metazoa; Arthropoda; Arachnida; Ixodida; Argasidae. The transcript is spliced from 4 exons. The record is from RefSeq and is a predicted model, not a curated record.